ACUCUUUUAGUUUAUAAAAAAUAUGACUUUGAAGCAGUUAAGAAUCAUAGAGUA
This 54-nucleotide transfer RNA is filed under the name Strongyloides stercoralis. RNAcentral describes it as "tRNA-Phe". The record is from RNAcentral. Lineage: Eukaryota; Metazoa; Nematoda; Chromadorea; Rhabditida; Strongyloididae.